AAGUCGUAACAAGGUUUCCGUAGGUGAACCUGCGGAAGGAUCAUUACCGAGUUCAUGCCCUCACGGGUAGAUCUCCCACCCUCUGUAUACCAUACCUUUGUUGCUUUGGCGGGCCGCCUAGCUACUGGCUUCGGCUGGUAAGUGCCCGCCAGAGGACCGAAACUCUUGUAUUAUUGAGAAUUUCUGAGUGGAUUAAACAAAUAAUCAAAACUUUCAACAACGGAUCUCUUGGUUCUG
This 237-nucleotide unclassified non-coding RNA is filed under the name Tetracladium marchalianum. RNAcentral describes it as "partial internal transcribed spacer region". The stretch from base 1 to 46 matches the Rfam family "Eukaryotic small subunit ribosomal RNA", at positions 1786 to 1831 of the family's 1831-position model. The record is from RNAcentral. Lineage: Eukaryota; Fungi; Ascomycota; Leotiomycetes; Helotiales.